This 353-nucleotide ribosomal RNA is filed under the name uncultured bacterium. Its description in RNAcentral is "partial 16S ribosomal RNA". It matches the Rfam family "Bacterial small subunit ribosomal RNA", at positions 338 to 688 of the family's 1533-position model. The record is from RNAcentral.
CCUACGGGUGGCAGCAGUGAGGAAUAUUGGACAAUGGGCUUACGCCUGAACCAGCCAAGCCGCGUGAGGGAAGACUGCCCUAUGGGUUGUAAACCUCUUCUGCCAGGGAGCAACGCCGGCUACGUGUAGCCGGACUGAGAGUACCUGAAGAAAAAGCAUCGGCUAACUCCGUGCCAGCAGCCGCGGUAAUACGGAGGAUGCGAGCGUUAUCCGGAUUUAUUGGGUUUAAAGGGUGCGUAGGCGGAAUGCCAAGUCAGCGGUAAAAUCGCGGGGCUCAACCUCGGUCCGCCGUUGAAACUGGGGUGCUUGAGGGGGCGAGGAGUAUGCGGGAUGCGUGGGGUAGCGGGGAAAUG